UACGGAGGGUGCAAGCGUUAUCCGGAUUCACUGGGUUUAAAGGGUGCGUAGGCGGGUAUGUAAGUCAGCGGUGAAAUCCCCGAGCUUAACUUGGGAACUGCCGUUGAUACUAUAUAUCUUGAAUGUCGUGGAGGCUAGCGGAAUAUGUCAUGUAGCGGUGAAAUGCUUAGAUAUGACAUAGAACACCCAUUGCGAAGGCAGCUAACUACGCGAAUAUUGACGCUGAGGCACGAAAGCGUGGGGAUCAAACAGG
This 253-nucleotide ribosomal RNA is filed under the name uncultured bacterium. RNAcentral describes it as "partial 16S ribosomal RNA". It matches the Rfam family "Bacterial small subunit ribosomal RNA", at positions 524 to 776 of the family's 1533-position model. The record is from RNAcentral.